GACGAACGCUGGCGGCGUGCCUAAUACAUGCAAGUCGAACGAGAGCGACCGGUGCUUGCACUGGUCAAUCUAGUGGCGAACGGGUGAGUAACACGUGGGUAACCUGCCCAUCAGAGGGGGAUAACAUUCGGAAACGGAUGCUAAAACCGCAUAGGUCUUCGAACCGCAUGGUUUGAAGAGGAAAAGAGGCGCAAGCUUCUGCUGAUGGAUGGACCCGCGGUGCAUUAGCUAGUUGGUGAGGUAACGGCUCACCAAGGCCGUGAUGCAUAGCCGACCUGAGAGGGUGAUCGGCCACAUUGGGACUGAGACACGGCCCAAACUCCUACGGGAGGCAGCAGUAGAGAAUCUUCCGCAAUGGACGCAAGUCUGACGGAGCAACGCCGCGUGAGUGAAGAAGGUUUUCGGAUCGUAAAACUCUGUUGUUAGAGAAGAACAAGUGCUAGAGUAACUGUUAGCGACUUGACGGUAUCUAACCAGAAAGCCACGGCUAACUACGUG
RNAcentral lists this ribosomal RNA (498 nucleotides) under uncultured bacterium. RNAcentral's name for it is "partial 16S ribosomal RNA". It matches the Rfam family "Bacterial small subunit ribosomal RNA", at positions 28 to 507 of the family's 1533-position model. The record is from RNAcentral.